CCUAGUUCAGUUUAUAACAUACUGAAACUAAUAUUACAUCAAUAGUUCAAACACAAUGAGCAACUCUAAAAAUCAAUGCUAAAACUCUUAGCUGGAUUCUAUACUUAGGGUCAGGAUCUUCAAUUUUAUUUCUUCAGUGAUUGAGUAGCACUUCGUGAAGUUAAUCUAUCGAUUGUGCUUUUCUGCUUUGUAAGUGCGUAAGUUAUUCUGACUGGUGCAUCUUUACAACGCUUCAA
This 236-nucleotide long non-coding RNA is filed under the name Capsicum annuum. Its description in RNAcentral is "long non-coding RNA (CANN_LNC022183)". Lineage: Eukaryota; Viridiplantae; Streptophyta; Magnoliopsida; Solanales; Solanaceae. The record is from RNAcentral.